UACGUAGGUCCCGAGCGUUGUCCGGAUUUAUUGGGCGUAAAGCGAGCGCAGGUGGUUUAUUAAGUCUGGUGUAAAAGGCAGUGGCUCAACCAUUGUAUGCAUUGGAAACUGGUAGACUUGAGUGCAGGAGAGGAGAGUGGAAUUCCAUGUGUAGCGGUGAAAUGCGUAGAUAUAUGGAGGAACACCGGUGGCGAAAGCGGCUCUCUGGCCUGUAACUGACACUGAGGCUCAAAAGCGAGGGGAGCAAACAGG
Molecule: ribosomal RNA, 252 nt
Filed under: uncultured bacterium
Lineage: Bacteria
Description: partial 16S ribosomal RNA
Rfam family: Bacterial small subunit ribosomal RNA
Source: RNAcentral